Molecule: ribosomal RNA, 253 nt
Filed under: uncultured bacterium
Lineage: Bacteria
Description: partial 16S ribosomal RNA
Rfam family: Bacterial small subunit ribosomal RNA
Source: RNAcentral
UACGGAGGGUGCAAGCGUUGUCCGGAUUUAUUGGGUUUAAAGGGUGCGUAGGCGGUCGAUUAAGUCAGUGGUGAAAUCCUGCAGCUCAACUGUAGAACCGCCAUUGAUACUGAUUGACUUGAGUACAGACGAGGUAGGCGGAAUUUAUGGUGUAGCGGUGAAAUGCAUAGAUACCAUAAAGAACACCUAUUGCGAAGGCAGCUUACUAGGCUGUAACUGACGCUGAGGCACGAAAGCGUGGGGAUCAAACAGG